CUUCGCUCGUCUCAAAGAUUAAGCCAUGCAUGUGUUAGUGUAAAUGUAGUACUUUGGAACUGCGAAUGGCUUCUUAUAUUCAGUAUUGUUUAUUGGUGAAUGAUACUACUUGGAUAACCGUAGUAAUUCUAGGGCUAAUACAUGAGAAAGUCCUCUUUGGAGGUGGUUUAUUAGAAUGAAAACCAUAUGCUUCGGCAUGAUAGUGAGUAAUAGUAACCUAUCGUAUCGCAUGCUUGAUGUAGCGAUGAGUCUUUCAAGUUUCGCCCUAUCAGCUUUCGAUGGUAGUAUAUGGGCCUACCAUG
Molecule: ribosomal RNA, 302 nt
Filed under: Blastocystis sp.
Lineage: Eukaryota; Bigyra; Opalinata; Blastocystidae
Description: SSU rRNA
Rfam family: Eukaryotic small subunit ribosomal RNA
Source: RNAcentral